GAUGAACGCUAGCUACAGGCUUAACACACGCAAGUCGAGGGGUAACGAGAGGAAAGCUUGCUUUCCUUGUCGACGACCGGCGCACGGGUGAGUAAUGCGUAUCCAACCUGCCCCCAACUAAGUAAUAACCUUGCGAAAGUAAGACUAAUACCUUAUAAUUUCCUCAGAUGUCAUCUGACGAGGAAUAAAGAUUUAUCGGUUGUGGAUGGGGAUGCGUCUGAUUAGCUUGUUGGCGGGGUAACGGCCCACCAAGGCAACGAUCAGUAGGGGUUCUGAGAGGAAGGUCCCCCACAUGGGAACUGAGACACGGUCCAAACUCCUACGGGAGGCAGCAGUGAGGAAUAUUGGUCAAUGGGCGGAAGCCUGAACCGGCCAAGUAGCGUGCAGGAUGACGGCCCUAUGGGUUGUAAACUGCUUUUAUACAGGAAUAAAGUUAGCCACGUGUGGUUAUUUGUAGGUACUGUAUGAGUAAGGACCGGCUAAUUCCGUGCCAGCAGCCGCCGUAA
Molecule: ribosomal RNA, 506 nt
Filed under: uncultured bacterium
Lineage: Bacteria
Description: partial 16S ribosomal RNA
Rfam family: Bacterial small subunit ribosomal RNA
Source: RNAcentral